UCUCCGUUGGUGAACCAGCGGAGGGAUCAUUACUGGAAUCGCAAGAUCCCACAACCCUGUGAACCUACCGAAACGUUGCCUCGGCGGGUGUCUGCCCCCCGCGCCGGGCGCUGCGCCCGCCGGCAGCCCCCUACCCUGUCUCUGCAGCGUGGCAUCUCAGAGUCCCAGAAAGCAAGUCAAAACUUUCAACAACGGAUCUCUUGGCUCUA
Molecule: unclassified non-coding RNA, 209 nt
Filed under: plant metagenome
Description: partial contains small subunit ribosomal RNA, internal transcribed spacer 1, and 5.8S ribosomal RNA
Source: RNAcentral